This is a long non-coding RNA of Xenia sp. Carnegie-2017, 377 nucleotides long. RefSeq lists it as uncharacterized. The record is from RefSeq and is a predicted model, not a curated record. The transcript is spliced from 3 exons. NCBI's taxonomy places the organism in Eukaryota, Metazoa, Cnidaria, Anthozoa, Malacalcyonacea, Xeniidae.
AGUACAUGAGUCAGCUUACUUGUUUAGUAUACCAAUAUUUAUAGAGAAAUUAGCAUUUCUUCUGCACCCCCAUCUAGCUUAAGCUAGGAGGGCUGCACACCCUUCUCUUAUAUUCAUCUCUGAAUAAAGUUGUCAUUAUACUUUUGAAAUGUAAAUAUGUGUACUGAAUUGCUGUAUUUUAUUCUGUAUAUUCUAUUGCAUGAAAUGCACACAUUCUAAAUUUAAAUUGUUUUGUGUUAAAGAUUUUUGUGCACCAUGUAAAUCUUUAAUGACAAAGACAUGUUUUUAGUCUUGUAACCAUUAAGAAAAUAUAAUAUUUAUUAUAUUGCUGUUAUUUUGCACAUAUUUUUCACUCAGAAAUGUCUUUAUCAAAAUAA